GAGAUGUCCGUUAGUCGGAUACGAGCGCACCUUACCUUAUUUGCCAGCGAGUUAAGUCGGGAACUAUAAGGGGACUGCCGAUGAUAAACCGGAGGAAGGUGAGGACGACGUCAAGUCAUCAUGGCCCUUACGAGUAGGGCUACACACGUGAUACAAUGGAGAAAACAGACGGACGCUAAGCCGCGAGGUGGUGCUAAUCCUAUAAAGUUCUUCGUAGUCCGGAUUGGAGUCUGCAACUCGACUCCAUGAAGUUGGAAUUGCUAGUAAUCGCGGAUCAGCAUGCCGCGGUGAAUACGUUCUCGGGUCUUGUACACACCGCCCGUCACACCAUGGGAGUUGGUUCUACCUUAAGGCAAGGUUUUAAACCCUUGACCACGGUAUAGUCAGCGACUGGGGUGAAGUCGUAACAAGGUAGCCGUAGGGGAACCUGCGGCUGGAUUACCUCCUUUCU
RNAcentral lists this ribosomal RNA (451 nucleotides) under uncultured Gammaproteobacteria bacterium. RNAcentral describes it as "bacterial SSU rRNA". It matches the Rfam family "Bacterial small subunit ribosomal RNA", at positions 1069 to 1533 of the family's 1533-position model. Lineage: Bacteria; Pseudomonadati; Pseudomonadota; Gammaproteobacteria. The record is from RNAcentral.